GAUGAACGCUGGCGGCGUGCUUAACACAUGCAAGUCGAACGAUGAAGCCCAGCUUGCUGGGUGGAUUAGUGGCGAACGGGUGAGUAACACGUGAGUAACCUGCCCUUGACUCUGGGAUAAGCCCGGGAAACUGGGUCUAAUACCGGAUAGGAGCGCCUGUCGCAUGACGGGUGUUGGAAAGAUUUUUCGGUCAUGGAUGGACUCGCGGCCUAUCAGCUUGUUGGUGAGGUAAUGGCUCACCAAGGCGACGACGGGUAGCCGGCCUGAGAGAGUGACCGGCCACACUGGGACUGAGACACGGCCCAGACUCCUACGGGAGGCAGCAGUGGGGAAUAUUGCACAAUGGGCGGAAGCCUGAUGCAGCGACGCCGCGUGAGGGAUGACGGCCUUCGGGUUGUAAACCUCUUUCAGUAGGGAAGAAGCGAAAGUGACGUACCUGCAGAAGAGCCCCG
RNAcentral lists this ribosomal RNA (452 nucleotides) under Micrococcus sp. oral taxon F54. RNAcentral describes it as "bacterial SSU rRNA". It matches the Rfam family "Bacterial small subunit ribosomal RNA", at positions 28 to 495 of the family's 1533-position model. The record is from RNAcentral. Lineage: Bacteria; Bacillati; Actinomycetota; Actinomycetes; Micrococcales; Micrococcaceae.